This 475-nucleotide ribosomal RNA is filed under the name uncultured bacterium. RNAcentral describes it as "SSU rRNA". It matches the Rfam family "Bacterial small subunit ribosomal RNA", at positions 26 to 518 of the family's 1533-position model. The record is from RNAcentral.
AGGACGAACGCUGGCGGCGUGCUUAACACAUGCAAGUCGAGCGGAAAGGCCCUUCGGGGUACUCGAGCGGCGAACGGGUGAGUAACACGUGAGUAAUCUGCCCCUAGCUCUGGGAUAGCUCCGGGAAACCGGGAUUAAUACCGGAUACGACCACCUUAGACAUCUUUUGUGGUGGAAAGAAUUUCGGCUAGGGAUGAGCUCGCGGCCUAUCAGCUUGUUGGUGGGGUAACGCCUACCAAGGCGACGACGGGUAGCCGGCCUGAGAGGGCGACCGGCCACACUGGGACUGAGACACGGCCCAGACUCCUACGGGAGGCAGCAGUGGGGAAUAGUUGCGCAAUGGGCGAAAGCCUGACGCAGCGACGCCGCGUGGGGGAUGAAGGCCUUCGGGUUGUAAACCCCGUUUCAGCAGGGACGAAGCGAAAGUGACGGUACCUGCAGAAGAAGCGCCGGCUAACUACGCGCCAGCAGCCGC